This 2184-nucleotide long non-coding RNA is filed under the name Solanum tuberosum (potato). RNAcentral describes it as "long non-coding RNA (STUB_LNC003857)". Lineage: Eukaryota; Viridiplantae; Streptophyta; Magnoliopsida; Solanales; Solanaceae. The record is from RNAcentral.
CACCAAAAAUUUAAGGGACUUUAGUAGUGCAGUUUUCAGAAUUAGUGCGGUAAAACUUGCUCACAAAGUAUCUGAAGCUGUGACCUCAAAUCAAGCAACAGAUAUUCAAGUAUGGAACUCUGGUUUGCUCUUCUGCAGUAAAAUUAACAAGUUAAUAAUAAGCUAAAAACUCUUACAUUUCUUGGCAGGACUUGUUUACUAAAUCAACACUGGAGACGGUAUUCAAGAUUUUACUAGGUGUGGAUCUAGACACUACAACUGAAGAAGGCAUUCUCUUUUCCAAUGCUUUUGAUGAAGCUAGUGCAGUAACUCUCUAUCGCUACGUUGAUGUGUUUUGGAAAGUGAAAAGAUUUCUAAACAUUGGGUCAGAAGCAAAUAUGAAGAAGUGUAUUAAAGUGGUUGAUGAAUUUGUAUAUAAAAUUAUCAGAAACAAGACAGAACAGAUGAGCAAGUCGCGAGAUGACAGCAGGGUGGUAAGUUCAAGCAGAUAACCUUCUAACUUAUUUCCCGUGAGCAAGAGCACCAAAUGAUAUUUGAAUUUUUACAUGUUUGGCAGAUGAAGAAAUCAGAUAUUCUGUCUAGGUUUCUGGAAAUGAACAAAACGGAUCCAAAGUACCUUAAGGACAUAAUCCUUAGCUUUAUAAUUGCUGGCAAAGACACUACAGCUAGCACACUUUCCUGGUUCUUCUAUAUGAUGUGCAAGCACCCUCUCCUACAAGAAAAAAUUGCAGAUGAAGUCAGGAAAGCAACUGGAAUAAACCAGAAUUCGAGUAUUGAUGAGCUAGCUAACAGCAUUACUGAUGACGCACUGGAUAAAAUGCAGUAUCUCCAUGCAUCAUUAACUGAGACGCUCAGAUUAUAUCCUGCAAUUCCUGUGGUAAUACAUACAUAUAUAGUGAGAAUGAUAUAAUAUUCACAAACAUAUAGAUGUCAUUAGGUCAAUGCUUCAUGCAUGCUUAUACAUAGUUUUAUAUGCCUAUUAGGCCAGUGCUUCAUGUAUAUAUGUCUUGAUAUUGAGUUUUUUCUCUAUGCAGGAUAGCAAAGUUUGUUUAUCAGAUGACACUUUCCCUGAUGGGUUCAAAGUGAGGAAAGGGGACGCUGUCGCAUAUCAACCAUGGGCUAUGGGCAGGAUGACAUCUUUAUGGGGUGAUGAUGCAGAGGAUUUUCGGCCAGAGAGAUGGAUUGAUGAAAAUUGUUGCUUUCGGCAAGAAAGUCCCUUUAAGUUCACAGCCUUCCAGGUACCACAGAGCCUUACAAUCUUAUAACUACUACAGUUAAAACUUCUAAGAGCUUAGCUUCACCAGACAGAACUAGUUUUUCCCAUCCAACCUUGACAAAGAAACAAAUUACAAUUGUUAAGUUUUACAGGGUUCAAAUAUUAUGAUUGAUGAAUGGUAUGAUUAUGCGAGAAACUGGUAUAAAGCUUUUAAUCCCCUUCCUAACAUCUGUUUAUUUUUAACGUCACAGCUCAUGUGCACGAGACAUUCACAUGAGAACCUUCUUCAUUCGACACCUCUUCAACCUCGAUCAUCCUAACCUCUCAUUCUCUGCCCAAAACAACAAUUCAUUCCUAGCUACAAAUUAUAGAACCCAAAACAAACUAAAGGGCGAAUGUCUAAGAAAGAAGGAAAACCCGUUGAAUUUGACAGUAGAUCAAACAAAAUUUUGCAGUUUAUGGAGAACCAAUGCGUACUCAUUAAUACAAACUCUGGAGGUCUGGGGUCUAAAGCCAAAGUUUUUGUGUAUUGUUCAUGAUUUUGGCCUGUACUCAAACCAGAUACUUAUAAGACGACUCUCUGUUCAUCAGCAAAUUAAUUCUAUUUACAAAUAAGAUCAAUGUGUUUGGCAUACAUGAAGCUCCUCUCUUCAUGUUUGUGUUUUCUUCAUCAUAAUUAUUCAACAAUCAUAUAGAUGGUGCUAUUGCUAUAAUAAUUUGCAGGGUGGGCCGAGAAUUUGUUUGGGGAAGGAAUUUGCUUACAGACAGAUGAAGAUCUUUUCAGCAGUGUUGCUGGGCACCUUUAGAUUUAAGCUGAGUGAUGAAGAAAGAAGAGUUACAUACAGAACCAUGCUCACUCUUCACAUUGACGGUGGCCUCCAUCUUCAUGCUUCCUACAGAUUACGCCACCACAACCCGCCGGCCCGGAACAAUAUGCCUGCUUAAUACUCCAUAUUAUCUUGUCUGCA